This 219-nucleotide ribosomal RNA is filed under the name uncultured bacterium. RNAcentral describes it as "partial 16S ribosomal RNA". It matches the Rfam family "Bacterial small subunit ribosomal RNA", at positions 118 to 339 of the family's 1533-position model. The record is from RNAcentral.
UGAGCAAUCUGCCCUUCUCUUUGGAAUAAGCGUUGGAAACGACGUCUAAUGCCGAAUACGACCUCCUUUCGCAUGAUCGGAGGUGGAAAGCUCCGGCGGAGAAGGAUGAGCUCGCGGCCUAUCAGCUAGUUGGUGUGGGUAACGCCCACAAGGCGACGACGGGUAGCCGGCCUGAGAGGGUGACCGGCCACACUGGGACUGAGACAUGGCCCAGACUCC